UGAAUCUUAUUUACAGAAUUCUCCCAAUAAUAUGAGCUUGAGUAACCAGCCGGGCACUCCAAGGGAUGAUGGCGAAAUGGGGGGCAAUUUCCUAAAUCCCUUUCAGAGUGAAAGUUACUCGCCUAGCAUGACCAUGAGUGUGUGAUCCAUUACCGCGUCCCCUCAUGAAAACCAUCGUGAGUCAGCCCAUCACAAAACUACUACGGAAGAAAACUACUCAUCGUGUACAGUUAGACAACGGAAUCUCAGACAACCAGACCACCUUUUAGUUCCUGCUCUCUCCCCUAUUUUGAGAAGAAAGCGGGUCCACACGUGAUUCAAGCAACUGUACGGAGCUGCCCAUUAGCUGCCCCAACUGAACUGCGGUGAUUAUCUGUGUGUGUGUGGGGAAGAGAAUGCAUCGUAUGUGCAGAUCUGUAUGCACAUAUAUGCAUACGUGCAUUGACCCACAGGACAUUGUAAGAUAUUAUCACAUGACAUCUUAAGUAGAAGUAAGUAGGGACUUUUAUUCCAUCCUUUUUUUUUCACGUUUACAUUUUAAUUAUUAAAGGUUGCUCCUGCCCUUCCUGAACUAUUUUGUGCUGUGUACAUCACUGCUUUAUAUAAGUUAUUUUUUAAGGUGAACUCAGAUGUUAUGGUUUUGUAAAUGUCUGCAAUCAUGGAUAGGAAUAAAAUUGCUUAUUUGAGAGCUUUCAUUCACUGUGUCUGAAGCAAGUUGCCUGUGAACCCAGAGUGUACCGAGUAGAGACAGUGUCUUCGUCCUCAUGUCCAACCAAGCGUUCUGUUCCCUUCUGUGCAGAGUAGUGUGCUGCUUUGUAUGUAAGGAAAAUGCAGGGCCUCACACA
RNAcentral lists this long non-coding RNA (845 nucleotides) under Rattus norvegicus (Norway rat). Its description in RNAcentral is "long non-coding RNA NONRATT014916". The record is from RNAcentral. Lineage: Eukaryota; Metazoa; Chordata; Mammalia; Rodentia; Muridae.